AAUCCAGUUCACUUUACAUUCUGAGUUUGAGGAGCGAUAAUGCGAAUGCUCGGAGUUUUACUUGGCAUGUUGGCCGCGUUUGUGGUUGUUGUUGAUUUUGUAGCCAGUGUUUCAUUGAGAAAAAGUGAACUCUUAUAUAAAUGUGAUACGGAUAAGGAAUUAAUUUUGUGAUUUUGUAUAGGGGUCUGUGAACUUCGUCCCGAGUAUGGAGAAUGCAAAGGACAUCGUUUGAUGUGGGCCUACGAUGCGAAUCGAAAACAAUGCCGUCAAUUUACAUACUCUAAUUGUGGCGGCAAUCGGAAUAGAUUUUCUACCGAAAGACAUUGCUUUGAGACUUGUGAGGAUUACACGUAUAUCGAAGUCUCAGGCCAAUGGAUGCCAAUAGAGAGAAAUUAGAGUAAUCGUUAUUUUAUUCAUUCAUCUGCAGCAAAGUCACCGAAUGGAAUAAAUGCUUGAAUUGCUAACAUGUCGACCACUUUCAGUACACACGUUUUGUUGGCGUCUGGCGGUUUUUUUGGUACAAC
This 524-nucleotide long non-coding RNA is filed under the name Drosophila guanche. Lineage: Eukaryota; Metazoa; Arthropoda; Insecta; Diptera; Drosophilidae. The record is from RNAcentral.